This 494-nucleotide ribosomal RNA is filed under the name uncultured bacterium. Its description in RNAcentral is "partial 16S ribosomal RNA". It matches the Rfam family "Bacterial small subunit ribosomal RNA", at positions 28 to 507 of the family's 1533-position model. The record is from RNAcentral.
GACGAACGCUGGCGGCGUGCUUAACACAUGCAAGUCGAACGGAAAGGCCUGCUUUCCCUUGUGGAUUGCAGGUACUCGAGUGGCGAACGGGUGAGUAACACGUGAGUGAUCUGCCCCCAACUUGGGUAUAAGCCUGGGAAACUGGGUCUAAUUCCCGAUAGGACUGCAGGGUGGUGCCUGUGGUGGAAAACGAUUUUCUAGUGGUUGGGGAUGAGCUCGCGGCCUAUCAGCUUGUUGGUGGGGUAAUGGCCUACCAAGGCGGCGACGGGUAGCCGGCCUGAGAGGGUGGACGGCCACAUUGGGACUGAGAUACGGCCCAGACUCCUACGGGAGGCAGCAGUGGGGAAUAUUGCACAAUGGGCGGAAGCCUGAUGCAGCGACGCCGCGUGGGGGAUGACGGCCUUCGGGUUGUAAACUCCUUUCGACCGCGAGGAAGCCACCUGGUUGGAAGGGUGGUGACGGUAGUGGUAGAAGAAGCACCGGCUAACUACGUG